UACGAAGGGGGCGAGCGUUGUUCGGAUUUACUGGGCGUAAAGGGCGCGCAGGCGGCUUUGUUUGUCAGGCGUGAAAGCCCCGGGCUUAACCUGGGAACUGCGUUUGAUACGGCAGGGCUAGAGUUCGGGAGAGGAGAGUGGAAUUCCUGGUGUAGCGGUGAAAUGCGCAGAUAUCAGGAGGAACACCGGUGGCGAAGGCGGGUCUCUGGGCCGAUACUGACGCUGAGGAGCGAAAGCGUGGGGAGCGAACAGG
This 253-nucleotide ribosomal RNA is filed under the name uncultured bacterium. RNAcentral describes it as "partial 16S ribosomal RNA". It matches the Rfam family "Bacterial small subunit ribosomal RNA", at positions 524 to 776 of the family's 1533-position model. The record is from RNAcentral.